RNAcentral lists this long non-coding RNA (234 nucleotides) under Lathyrus oleraceus (garden pea). RNAcentral's name for it is "Pisum sativum (pea) long non-coding RNA (PSAT_LNC010783)". The record is from RNAcentral. Lineage: Eukaryota; Viridiplantae; Streptophyta; Magnoliopsida; Fabales; Fabaceae.
UUAGGGUCAUGGAUCAAAUAAAGUUUGUAUGGGCUAGGGUAAAUUUUGGGGUAUGACACCGGUCAAUAACAAUGUUUGUGCCAGACAAGUUAGAGAAUUAACAUAAAGUUAAUCUCAAGCAACAUGUUACACAAUGAUCAAAAAGAAAAGAAGAGAUGAAAGUAGAAAGAGUGAAAAUAAUAAUCAAUGCAAUCACAUAAGGAUCAUUCUAUCCACAAGGCAAAGGACUCAAAA